UACGAAGGGGGCUAGCGUUGUUCGGAUUUACUGGGCGUAAAGCGCACGUAGGCGGGUUGUUAAGUCAGGGGUGAAAUCCUGGAGCUCAACUCCAGAACUGCCUUUGAUACUGGCAACCUAGAGGCUGGAAGAGGUUAGUGGAAUUCCCAGUGUAGAGGUGAAAUUCGUAGAUAUUGGGAAGAACACCAGUGGCGAAGGCGGCUAACUGGUCCAGAUCUGACGCUGAGGUGCGAAAGCGUGGGGAGCAAACAGG
This 253-nucleotide ribosomal RNA is filed under the name uncultured bacterium. RNAcentral describes it as "partial 16S ribosomal RNA". It matches the Rfam family "Bacterial small subunit ribosomal RNA", at positions 524 to 776 of the family's 1533-position model. The record is from RNAcentral.